GAUGAACGCUGACAGAAUGCUUAACACAUCAGCAAUUGAUUGGUGGCGGACGGGUGAGUAACGCGUAAAGAACUUACCUCACAGUUAGGGACAACAUUUGGAAACGAAUGCUAAUACCUAAUACUGUGAGAGAGCUUUGCGUCCCAUUAGCUAGUUGGAGAGGUAACGGCUCACAAAGGCGAUGAUGGGUAGCCGGCCUGAGAGGGUGAUCGGACAAAAGGGGACUGUGACACGGCCCUUACUCCUACGGGCGGCAGCAGUGGGGAAUAUCAGACAACGGACCAAAGUCUGAUACAGCAAUUGUGGGUGCACGAUGAAGCUCUCGGAAUGUAAAGUGCUUGCAGUUGGGAAGCGGUACCAACAGAAGAAGGAACGACUAAAUACGUGCCAGCAGCCGCGGUAAUAC
Molecule: ribosomal RNA, 406 nt
Filed under: uncultured bacterium
Lineage: Bacteria
Description: partial 16S ribosomal RNA
Rfam family: Bacterial small subunit ribosomal RNA
Source: RNAcentral